AUGACAACAACAAAUAUUCAAUUAUCAAUUAGUACACUUGAAAGACGAAAUCACAUCUGAAAGACAAAUCAAAAUUAUAGGUUCUUUUAUGGACUGCCCCACUGUACAUCGCUAUCAGUGUUUCUCCAAUUGUUUUUGUUCUCUUGCGGGGCGGGCAAGACAACAACAGUACAAUGACCGAAAGUAGCCAUGCAAAAACUGAGAGAGGGAGUGGAAAAACAGAAUUGUUGGCCACGACAAAAAAGUCGUAGUAGAAAAUGGCGCUCUCCACUGGAGAUUUUUCUGUUGCUUGCUUUUAUCACCCUCUCUAUCUCUCUUUCUCGUGCGCUCUUUGUGGAAACAGGUAUAACUGUUUGGCUUGAGGGAGCACGAAACUCCCUCCAGUGGAGACUUCUCCUCGGCAGCGAAACAAACGAUCAAAGUGAACACUCUGAUAACGUGUGAAGAACUGUCGACGCACCCUUUUUUUUCUCAGAGAGCCAGGGAAUGGACAAGAAGCGCAAAACCACAUCCCGCAGCAAGCGUCCCUUUCCACCGCUGGAACGAAAGGCAGCUUGAAGAGGAGCGGGUGGCUUCGAGUAUAUGGAAAACAAAGCAGACGACGCUGGAAUGCCGUCGUUGUUUUUGUUGUUGUUAAGCCGGACAUGGCAAUUUUUGCUUAUGUUUUCAAGAGGGGUGGCGAAACUCAUAAAGAUCAAGAGGGCUUUGUGUGCCGUACCUUUAA
Molecule: long non-coding RNA, 724 nt
Organism: Drosophila santomea
Lineage: Eukaryota; Metazoa; Arthropoda; Insecta; Diptera; Drosophilidae
Exons: 3
Source: RefSeq, a predicted model, not a curated record